Molecule: ribosomal RNA, 1348 nt
Filed under: Cladophialophora carrionii
Lineage: Eukaryota; Fungi; Ascomycota; Eurotiomycetes; Chaetothyriales; Herpotrichiellaceae
Description: LSU rRNA
Rfam family: Eukaryotic large subunit ribosomal RNA
Source: RNAcentral
AUAUCAAUAAGCGCAGGAAAAGAAACCAACAGGGAUUGCCUCAGUAACGGCGAGUGAAGCGGCAACAGCUCAAAUUUGAAAUCUGGCCUCCCGGGGUCCGAGUUGUAAUUUGUAGAGGAUGUUUUGGGUACCGCCCCGGUUUAAAUUUCUUGGAACAGAAUGUCAGAGAGGGUGAGAAUCCCGUCUUGGACCGGUGGUAGGGCCUGUGUAAAACUCCUUCGACGAGUCGAGUUGUUUGGGAAUGCAGCUCAAAAUGGGUGGUAAAUUUCAUCUAAAGCUAAAUAUUGGCCAGAGACCGAUAGCGCACAAGUAGAGUGAUCGAAAGAUGAAAAGAACUUUGAAAAGAGAGUUAAACAGUAUGUGAAAUUGUUGAAAGGGAAGCGCUUGCAACCAGACUUGAGCGCGACGGUUCCCCUAGCCUUUUGGCUAGGUUACUCCGUCGUGUCCAGGCCAACAUCGGUUCUGAGGGUCGGUCAAAGGCUCUGGGAAUGUAUCUACCCACGGGUAGACUUAUAGACCAGGGUGUCAUGCGACCUCUCGGGACCGAGGAACGCGCUUCGGCUCGGAUGUUGGCGUAAUGGUUGUCAGCGACCCGUCUUGAAACACGGACCAAGGAGUCUAACAUCUAUGCGAGUGUUUGGGUGUCAAACCCGGAACGCGAAAUGAAAGUGAACGGAGGUAGGAAGCUUCGGCUGCACUAUCGACCGAUCCUGAAGUUUACGGAUGGAUUUGAGUAAGAGCAUAGCUGUUGGGACCCGAAAGAUGGUGAACUAUGCCUGAAUAGGGUGAAGCCAGAGGAAACUCUGGUGGAGGCUCGCAGCGGUUCUGACGUGCAAAUCGAUCGUCAAAUUUGGGUAUAGGGGCGAAAGACUAAUCGAACCAUCUGGUAGCUGGUUCCUGCCGAAGUUUCCCUCAGGAUAGCAGUAACGUUUUCAGUUUUAUGAGGUAAAGCGAAUGAUUAGAGGCCUUGGGGUUGAAACAACCUUAACCUAUUCUCAAACUUUAAAUAUGUAAGAAGUCCUUGUUACUUAAUUGAACGUGGACAUUUGAAUGUACCGUUACUAGUGGGCCAUUUUUGGUAAGCAGAACUGGCGAUGCGGGAUGAACCGAACGUGAGGUUAAGGUGCCGGAAUGCACGCUCAUCAGACACCACAAAAGGUGUCAAUGCAUCUAGACAGCCGGACGGUGGCCAUGGAAGUCGGAAUCCGCUUAGGAGUGUGUAACAACUCACCGGCCGAAUGCAUUGGCCCUGAAAAUGGAUGGCGCUUAAGCGUGCUACCUAUACCUCGCCGUUAGGGUUGACAUGAUGCCCUAACGAGUAGGCAGGCGUGGAGGUCCGUGACGAAGC